Salvia miltiorrhiza (redroot sage) is the source of this 232-nucleotide long non-coding RNA. RefSeq lists it as uncharacterized. Lineage: Eukaryota; Viridiplantae; Streptophyta; Magnoliopsida; Lamiales; Lamiaceae. The transcript is spliced from 2 exons. The record is from RefSeq and is a predicted model, not a curated record.
GGUUGAAAUUGUGUUACAAACCACUGCUGUGACAAUGUGCCUUCGGCAGACUUCAGCCUUGCCCCUCUAUAUUGAGUAUGGCCUGAGCGACAACAUCAAGGGGAUGCUUUUGGGUGGUGAGAUGAUGGAUGAAAAACCUUGGUCAAGGUAUGUGUGUGUGGUGGCGCAAAAUGGAGAGGGGAGAGAAAGGGGAGAGAGCUCUUGUCUUACCUUAGGUUUUUCACUUGGAAUG